CCGCAAGGCUAAAAAUCAAAGGAAUUUGACGGGGGCCCGCACAAGCGGCGGAGCAUGUGGCUUAAUUCGACGCAACGCGAAGAACCUUACCAAGGCUUGACAUACACCGGAAACACCUAGAGAUAGGUGCCCCCUUGUGGUCGGUGUACAGGUGGUGCAUGGCUGUCGUCAGCUCGUGUCGUGAGAUGUUGGGUUAAGUCCCGCAACGAGCGCAACCCUUGUCCCGUGUUGCCAGCAGGCCCUUGUGGUGCUGGGGACUCACGGGAGACCGCCGGGGUCAACUCGGAGGAAGGUGGGGACGACGUCAAGUCAUCAUGCCCCUUAUGUCUUGGGCUGCACACGUGCUACAAUGGCCGGUACAAAGAGCUGCGAUACCGUGAGGUGGAGCGAAUCUCAAAAAGCCGGUCUCAGUUCGGAUUGGGGUCUGCAACUCGACCCCAUGAAGUCGGAGUCGCUAGUAAUCGCAGAUCAGCAUUGCUGCGGUGAAUACGUUCCCGGGCCUUGUACACACCGCCCGUCACGUCACGAAAGUCGGUAACACCCGAAGCCGGUGGCCCAACCCCUUGUGGGA
RNAcentral lists this ribosomal RNA (571 nucleotides) under Streptomyces sp. RNAcentral's name for it is "bacterial SSU rRNA". It matches the Rfam family "Bacterial small subunit ribosomal RNA", at positions 886 to 1447 of the family's 1533-position model. The record is from RNAcentral. Lineage: Bacteria; Bacillati; Actinomycetota; Actinomycetes; Kitasatosporales; Streptomycetaceae.